Molecule: ribosomal RNA, 505 nt
Filed under: uncultured bacterium
Lineage: Bacteria
Description: partial 16S ribosomal RNA
Rfam family: Bacterial small subunit ribosomal RNA
Source: RNAcentral
GACGAACGCUGGCGGCGUGCCUAAUACAUGCAAGUAGAACGCACAGUUUAUACCGUAGCUUGCUACACCAUAGACUGUGAGUUGCGAACGGGUGAGUAACGCGUAGGUAACCUGCCUGGUAGCGGGGGAUAACUAUUGGAAACGAUAGCUAAUACCGCAUAAUAUUAAUUAUUGCAUGAUAAUUAAUUGAAAGGUGCAAUUGCACCACUACCAGAUGGACCUGCGUUGUAUUAGCUAGUAGGUGAGGUAACGGCUCACCUAGGCGACGAUACAUAGCCGACCUGAGAGGGUGAUCGGCCACACUGGGACUGAGACACGGCCCAGACUCCUACGGGAGGCAGCAGUAGGGAAUCUUCGGCAAUGGAUGACAGUCUGACCGAGCAACGCCGCGUGAGUGAAGAAGGUUUUCGGAUCGUAAAGCUCUGUUGUAAGAGAAGAACGGGUGUGAGAGUGGAAAGUUCACACUGUGACGGUAUCUUACCAGAAAGGGACGGCUAACUACGUG